This 240-nucleotide unclassified non-coding RNA is filed under the name uncultured Mortierella. RNAcentral describes it as "sequence contains ITS2". Lineage: Eukaryota; Fungi; Mortierellomycota; Mortierellomycetes; Mortierellales; Mortierellaceae. The record is from RNAcentral.
AACACCUUAAAGCUUUUGAUUUUUUUUUAAAAGUUUUGGACUUGAGCAAUCCCAACACCGGUCUUUUACAGAUCGGCGGCGGGUUGCUUGAAAUGCAGGUGCAGCUGGACAUUCUCCUGAGCUAAAAGCAUAGUCCCGUCAAACGGAUUAUUACUUUUGCUGCACCAAAUAUAAAGGGAGUUUGGCCGUUUUGGCUGACUGAUGCAGGAUUUCACAAGGGUCGGCAACGAUUCUUGUAAA